AUUGAACGCUGGCGGCAUGCCUUACACAUGCAAGUCGAACGGCAGCACGGGUGCUUGCACCUGGUGGCGAGUGGCGAACGGGUGAGUAAUACAUCGGAACAUGUCCUGUAGUGGGGGAUAGCCCGGCGAAAGCCGGAUUAAUACCGCAUACGAUCUACGGAUGAAAGCGGGGGGCCUUCGGGCCUCGCGCUAUAGGGUUGGCCGAUGGCUGAUUAGCUAGUUGGUGGGGUAAAGGCCUACCAAGGCGACGAUCAGUAGCUGGUCUGAGAGGACGACCAGCCACACUGGGACUGAGACACGGCCCAGACUCCUACGGGAGGCAGCAGUGGGGAAUUUUGGACAAAGGGCGAAAGCCUGAUCCAGCAAUGCCGCGUGUGUGAAGAAGGCCUUCGGGUUGUAAAGCACUUUUGUCCGGAAAGAAAUCCUUGGCCCUAAUACGGUCGGGGGAUGACGGUACCGGAAGAAUAAGCACCGGCUAACUACGUG
This 486-nucleotide ribosomal RNA is filed under the name uncultured bacterium. RNAcentral's name for it is "partial 16S ribosomal RNA". It matches the Rfam family "Bacterial small subunit ribosomal RNA", at positions 30 to 507 of the family's 1533-position model. The record is from RNAcentral.